CUUCAUCAGUACUACUCCAUCGUGUGUCCCUCCAUCAGUACCAGCACAGUGUGUCACUCCAUCAGUUCCACCUCAGUGUGUCACUGCGUUAGUUCUGCCCCAUUUUACCCCUCCCUCAGUACUAUC
This is a long non-coding RNA of Amblyraja radiata (thorny skate), 126 nucleotides long. RefSeq lists it as uncharacterized. The transcript is spliced from 3 exons. Lineage: Eukaryota; Metazoa; Chordata; Chondrichthyes; Rajiformes; Rajidae. The record is from RefSeq and is a predicted model, not a curated record.